This 270-nucleotide signal recognition particle RNA is filed under the name Staphylococcus epidermidis. RNAcentral describes it as "signal recognition particle sRNA large type". It matches the Rfam family "Bacterial large signal recognition particle RNA". Rfam says of the family: The signal recognition particle (SRP) is a universally conserved ribonucleoprotein involved in the co-translational targeting of proteins to membranes. Archaeal SRP consists of a 7S RNA and homologues of the eukaryotic SRP19 and SRP54 proteins. Lineage: Bacteria; Bacillati; Bacillota; Bacilli; Caryophanales; Staphylococcaceae. The record is from RNAcentral.
CCGUGCUAGGUGGGGAGGUAGCGGUUCCCUGUACUCGAAAUCCGCUUUAUGCGAGACUUAAUUCCUUUGUUGAGGGCGUAUUUUUGUGAAGUCUGCCCGAAGCACGUAGUGUUUGAAGAUUUCGGUCCUAUGCAAUAUGAACCCAUGAACUAUGUCAGGUCCUGACGGAAGCAGCAUUAAGUGGAUCCUCAUAUGUGCCGUAGGGUAGCCGAGAUUUAGCUGUCGACUUCGGUAACGUUUAUGAUAUGCGUUCGAUACAAAGGUGCAUGG